RNAcentral lists this ribosomal RNA (491 nucleotides) under uncultured bacterium. RNAcentral's name for it is "partial 16S ribosomal RNA". It matches the Rfam family "Bacterial small subunit ribosomal RNA", at positions 28 to 507 of the family's 1533-position model. The record is from RNAcentral.
GAUGAACGCUGGCUACAGGCUUAACACAUGCCAGUCGAGGGGAAACGACGGGGAAGCUUGCUACCCCGGGCGUCGACCGGCGCACGGGUGAGUAACGCGUAUCCAACCUGCCUCUGACUGAGGGAUAACCCGUCGAAAGUCGGCCUAAUACCUCAUGGCAUCGUCUGCGGGCAUCCAACGACGAUUAAAGAUUUCAUCGGUCAGAGAUGGGGAUGCGUCUGAUUAGCUUGUUGGCGGGGUAACGGCCCACCAAGGCGACGAUCAGUAGGGGUUCUGAGAGGAAGGUCCCCCACAUUGGAACUGAGACACGGUCCAAACUCCUACGGGAGGCAGCAGUGAGGAAUAUUGGUCAAUGGGCGAGAGCCUGAACCAGCCAAGUAGCGUGCAGGAUGACGGCCCUAUGGGUUGUAAACUGCUUUUAGGCGGGGAUAAAGUGAGGGACGUGUCCUUCAUUGCAGGUACCGCAUGAAUAAGGACCGGCUAAUUCCGUG